AAAAAAACAAACCCUGAGUUUCCGUGUCCAACAUUUGACCUUCCGUCUUAUUUGAAAAAACUAUGAAAAAAAUUAAAAAGAUAAGUCACGAUCAUCUAACAACAAUGAAAAUAUUAAUUAUAAAAAAAAUUCAUAUAAGACGGACAGUCAAACGUUGGACAAGAAAACCUAGGGUUUGUCUUUUU
Molecule: non-coding RNA, 185 nt
Organism: Oryza meridionalis
Lineage: Eukaryota; Viridiplantae; Streptophyta; Magnoliopsida; Poales; Poaceae
Source: Rfam